This 33685-nucleotide long non-coding RNA is filed under the name Sorghum bicolor (sorghum). RNAcentral's name for it is "long non-coding RNA (SBIC_LNC001641)". Lineage: Eukaryota; Viridiplantae; Streptophyta; Magnoliopsida; Poales; Poaceae. The record is from RNAcentral.
UUUGAUCAUCAUGUUGGUCUGGGCAACACUUACAUGAGGUGAAGUUGAACUGCCUGACGCUGCCAACACCGCCGUCGCCCUCCACGGGAUGGGCGCUUGUGACGACGUGAGAGGCGACCUUGGGCGCCAGGUUGUGCCAGUCCAUCACGGCGGCGCGGAACAGGCGCGGCGCGGCCACCGGCGACGGGAUCUCUAGGGUCCAGCUGUUGGAAGCCAUGCUGGUGGUGGUCUGGGAUGAGCUUUGGCUCGGUGCCUAGGCCUAGUUUGAUACUAGUAGCUGGAGCUGCUGCUUGUGUUGCUGGAACGAGCGGCAACAAGGUAUUUAAAUAGAGUGCGGUGAGCGCGGGGUUGGUGACGCUUUGCCCGGUUGGUGUCCGGUGGUGACUGGUGAGGGCCUCAAGUUGCUGGGCGAGUCGUCGGGCUUUUCCACAAUGGAUGGCUCUGUCGGUCGAGUGAGCUUUUAGUAAGGCGGGCGUCGAAACACACGUCUUGCACGGUCUUUGUCAAAACACGAGGAUAUAUUCGAGGAGUAUGUUGACGGAAUUGGCGCCACCUUCCGCUUGCACAAUUUGGUCUUUGGUAUAUAAAAGUAGUAUGUAAUGACUGUCAGAGUUCUAGAUAUUUGACUGCAUGUCUGCAUGCUAGGAUAACUUCCAUUCUAGAACGAUAUGAGGCCCUUGACUAACAUGAAUACAUCAUCUUUUGAAUUUAGACAUGAGAAGACUUAAAUUUUGUUUGACAUAACUCAACUUUAUUUUUGAAACUGCUUUUUUUAAAUAGCUCUACGUGCAACUUUCUCGGUAUUAAAAAGUUAUUUUAUAAAAUAGCUUCACUAACAACUUUAUGUAUGGUUGAGAGAGAGAAAUGAAAGAGCGCUUUGAAAAGUUAUUUUUAGCUCUAUUUUUCUGUGAGAGCAUAAAAAAGGUGUUUGACAAAAAACAACAACAACUCACAACAGCUCAUGAAGUUGUUGGUUAAACCGUGUCACAUAGAGCCUCACUUGCUGUCGACGAAAGCUGGUCGGCAGUCUACCUUGGGGUAUACCCACGGUAGUAGUUUAUUGGUAGACGGUGCGCAAACUACGAACUCGACGGUGACGCAAGACUCGGACAAGCUUUUUAUCCAGGUUCGGCCGCCGAGUUGGCGUAAUACCUACGUCCUGCGUCUGGUUGUAUUGAUUUGUGUUGAGAGAAUAUCCUGUCCUAGGGGGGUCCCUUGCCCCUCCUUAUAUAGUCUGGAGGGCAGGGUUACAGAUCUGGAAACUAAUCCUAGUCGGUUACAAUUGUCAUAGAUAGUUCGAUAUCAAUUCCUAUUCUAACCGACUAGAAUCCUGCUUGAUCUCCACAUCUUGCUUCCUUGCGCGAAACCCCAUGCUGUCGGAUCAAGCCUUGAACUCGUCUCGUAAUGGGCCAAGCCUCCUGGCCCAAGUCUAGCCAUAAGGGUAUAGGGGUCUAUCCCCCCACACUUGCUGACAGUGAUGCCACCUUUUUCUUCUUAUCUCAUCCCUUAUGGAUCUUUUAUGAGAAACAUCUUGUUUAAUUUAUAAAAAAACUACCCUUUUUUUAAGUGACUCCUUCUUGCUCUAGCGAGAUCUUUUACCGUUGUCGAAAUGGUAACAUGAUGUACCACUCAACAUGCAUGAGAGGUAAACCACGGUACCUUUAGGACUAAUAGUUUUGACACCUACAGUACCAAACUCAAGUUAUAUAGUUUUGAUAACUUACCAAGGAUAAUAAAAAAAAACUCCUUACAAAUGCCUUCUAUGGCUUCUUAUAGGCACUUGUUAUGAUAUAAGGACACAACUAUGACAAUUAAGGAAUGGUGGGCAUCCUUAUUGAAGGUCCAUUUGGACUUUGGAUGCAAGGGGUAAUUGGUAGUUAGCUAAGAAUUAGCUCCCGUGUAUCUAAAUAGGAAUAUAUGUGCUAAUUUUUUAAUUAGCCAAGUUUUCAGCUAGUCGUUAGGCAAAUAGCUAGCCAACUAUAAACUAAUUUAGACUAAUUUUUAGCCCCAACUAAUAACUAGUGUAUCCAAAUAGAGUAGAAUUGUAAAAGAGAACGAUGGUAGUUCUAGUGUACUAUUUUUAGGAUGUCUACAAAUAACAAAAUAGAAGGGCUUUGCACGGAAAGAUGAAUUGACUCUAAAAAAGAAGGCUUGUGGCAAACCUAGUUUAGGCUUUUCAUUUCGCUGAAAAUACACUGAAAAGUACUGUUCACUGAUUUGUUGUGAGAGAAAAAUCCUGUAUCAUGACUGAUAAAUCUAAUGUCAUUGUUGUAUUCUUUUGUAACUUAAAUUUGCAAAAAUCUACAUUUUCUUUCUUUUUUAAAAGAAAAUGGACAGACAAGAGAGCUACCUUUUAUAUAGUACAGUCAGGCUUCUCCUUACGUGACCUGUCAUUUCUUAAAAAGAAAUGCAAGCUCGGUUGAUAAGGGUUUAGCCGUUUGAGGCCGCCGUUGAGCAUCACUUUUGUCUAAACUCAGAAAAUGAACUAAAAGCUGCUGUGAAGAGAUUUCGUGGCUUAUGAUUUGUUCUGGAAGCUAAAAAAAUAUUACAAAAUUCAAUAAUGAAAAUACAACAGUCAGAAGCCACAAAAUCAGCUUUUAUGUCAAAAGUACAAAAGAUACCGCUCAAACAAACAAGCCCUUAAAUGUCUUCUUCUCCCAGCUCUCUAGUGAACGCUAUAGCUCUUGGAGCUUUCAUAUUUUCCAUAAUAAUUUUAAACACUCUACCAAUAUCUACUGAAAAUGUAUCGAAAAAAUCAAAAUAUCUAUUAGAAAUGAGCAAAAUUAUCGGUCAAACUUGCAUAGAAUUCGAAAACAAAAUGCCCCUAUUCUUCCCACACAUAAAACCAUUGUAUACCCAUUUUCUGUCCCUUCUUCUUUCAAGAAAGUCAUUGUAUACCCAAAUAGUUUUCCAUCCGCCCUAUUUAUAGUCCAGUUUAUCCAGUUUUUGGUAAAACCUAGCCUAGCCCGUAGGAUUUAUCUACAACAGUUUCUAACCCACAGGUACCAGCGGUUUCCCUCCUGAUCUUCCCCAAUCGCCCACUUGCAACACCACGUUGCUCAUUGUUAACUUACUCUCCACGGACCUGUCCGCUCGUCGCGCUCGCCUCGAGCCGUCCGUGCGCUCUGGAGAUCCUAACUUUAUAUAUGGCCAUGCAGCCCAUGGCCCGGUGGCCCGGCCCAUGGCCUGACGAUUUGGCACGGCCCGAGGGACCCUGCCUAGGCCACCACCUAUGCACGCGACAUGGCCCAAGCAUGGCUUUAUCCAACGGUUGGCCCGGUAGCGGCUCGGUGAAAAUAAACUGUUGUGUAGUUGUGACUUAUAUAUAUAUGUGCCGUUAAUUGUUAUAUUGGAGAAAAUGAUGAACAAUUGGUGAAAAUGAUAAAGUGUUUUAGCACUUAGUGAAAAUGUUAAUGAAAAUGAACUGUUUUCGGCUAAACGGGUCGUGGGCUGGCACAAUACGAGAAAAACGCCAUGCUUGACGGGCCGACACGACACGAAAACCGGCCCAUAGGCCGUGCCUUAGGCCGAAGGCUAUGCAUGAAGUCCAUGGAGGCACGACCCGCAGCACGACACUGCAUGACGUUGGACAUAUAUAAUCCUAAAGCAGGACGAUUAGAAGGAAGAAGAUGGGGGUCUCCACCUGUCGUGCAGUGGAAUUCUCGUGCCUCCCCGUGCAUGGCCACGGUGCCACCAUUGACCACACGAGCGCGGCGUGGUGUGCGUCCGAAGAUGUUGUGGCUGGCGUUGAAGACAACCUCGAAGUUGUGCCUCUGUCCUCCAUUGGUGCCCAUGGGUACGCUGUUGAGCGGCGCUGGUGCCCCCUUCGUCGGCACGGGAGGAAGAACACGACCAAGUUUAACGAGUUGAGUGGUGUGGAAACGUCGCAAACCAACACGCGUGGUUUCUCCUGACACGGUUUACCGUGGGCUGAUUCACGGGUACACGGUUAGUAUACAUAUAUAUAGGGGGUGUUUGGUUCAAAAAAUGCAAAUGUCAAUUACUUUGUAAUGAUGGAAUGUAAAAGGUCAAACUUUUCAUGGUUAUGUUUAGUAAUGCAGAAUUUAUUGUCUUUAUAAGGGCCUCUUGAGGUUCUUUUGGUGUGUUUUUUUGCCUCUUGAGGUCAAAAUCUAAAAUAAAGAAUAAUUAUUUUUUUGCUAAAAAUUUUGCAUGCUGUUUAGUUAUAUUAUACAGAACAAUGGACCAAAACCAAGAAUUUUUUAGAAUAGCAGGGGAAAACACCCAUAAUCGCACAACGACAGCAUGCUACAUACCACUCAUAACAUCUCAAGUCCACACACCGCACACUGCUUAGAGCAGCUUUAUUUAUUUUGUACGAAAAAAGGAACAUGAAAGAAAAAAAAUCCAGUCUCUGAAUAUAUCAAAACAUGUAUAAGACCACCCGUGAAGUGCAAUCGCAUCCCCAUCCACAGAUUUAGUUGUAGGCGUCGGGGUUGGCGACGAGGUAGGCCUCGGCACCCUUGAAGAUGGCGGUGACUGCCUCCUUGGCCUUGACUUCCUCGCCCUUCACGUCCACACCCGGCAGCAGCUUGUAGGUCGACUCCACCUUCACCACGCUGCCGCCGCCGGCCGCGGGCUCCACCUUGAUGUGCGACGCCGCGGUCUCGACGGCCACGCCGAUGCCGCCUCCCUCGACGAGCGUCGACUUGCACUCGCACUUGUCCAUGUCCAGGGACUCGAGCUUCUCCUUCAUGAAGCUGAAUGGCAUGACUGCAAGAGCGAUCGAUCCCACGUCAGGCGCUAGCUGUUUGAUCGAUGAUCAAGCGAGAGAACAUCAUGUUGGUCUGGGCAACACUUACAUGAGGUGAAGUUGAACUGCCUGACGCUGCCAACACCGCCGUCGCCCUCCACGGGAUGGGCGCUUGUGACGACGUGAGAGGCGACCUUGGGCGCCAGGUUGUGCCAGUCCAUCACGGCGGCGCGGAACAGGCGCGGCGCGGCCACCGGCGACGGGAUCUCGAGGGUCCAGCUGUUGGAAGCCAUGGCUGGUGGUCUGCGAUGAGCUUUGGCUCGGUGCCUAGCUAGGUCUAGUUUGAUUAGCUGAUGCAAGUAGGUGGAGCUGCUGCUUGUGUUGCUGGAACGAGCGGCAAAAAGGGAUUUAAAUAGAGUGCGAUGAGCGCGGGGUUGGUGACGCUUUGCCCCGUUGGUGUCCGGUGGUGACUGGUGAGGCCUGAAAGUUGCUGGGCGAGUCGUCGCGCUUUUCCACAAUGGAUGGCUCUCCGUCGGUCGAGUGAGCUUUAUUAAUAAGGCGGGCGUCCAAAACACACGUCGUUGUCGCACACUCUUUGUCAAAACACGAGGAUAUAUUCGAGGAAUAUGUUGACCGAAUUGGCGGCUUGCCGCCACCUUCCGCUUGCACAAAUUGGUCUAGGUCUUAAAAACAAGCCAUGUAUGUCACAUUUGGUUGGUAUAUACAAGUAGUAUGUAAUGACUGUCAGAGUUCUAGAUAUUUGACUGCAUGGAUGUCUGCAUGCUGGAUAACUUCCAUUCUAGAACGAUAUGCCUUGACUAACAUGAAUUCAUCAUCUUUUGAAUUUAGACAUGAGAGGACUUAAGUUCCGUUUGACACAACUCAGUUUUAUUAUCGAAGCUGUUUCUUUAGAUAGCUUUAUGAGUAACUUUCUUGGCUGAGCUAUUUUAGAAAAUCAUUUUGUAAAAUAGUUUCACUAACAACUUUAUGCAUGGUUGAGAGGGGAAAAUGAGAGAGCUUUUUGAAAAGUUGUUUUUUAGUUCUACUUUUCCGUGGGAGCAUAAAAAAGGUGUUUGACAAAAGAAAAGAGUAAAGUCCAUCACCAGUCUCUAAACUUGUUUAGGUAUAUCAUCCCGGUCUCUAACUCGCAAAACGAUCGUUUAGGUACCUAAACUUGUUCGGCUAUAUCACUCUGGUCCCUAAACUUGGAAAUCUCAUAUAUAGGCCUUCAAACUUGUUUAGUUGUGUCAUCCCAGUCCCUAAACUUGUUUUUAAGUCUCGUCUGGUUCAAAACGGAACGAAUCUAAAAACUCUAUAAAUAACUCAUAACUUUUUCAUAUAAACUCAAAUAAAGAUAAACUUUAUAUUAAAAUUAUAGCCAACAAUGUGAUCUACAACUUUGUAGUUAAAAAGUUUUUAAACUAAAAUAAUUUAGGGUCUCAUUUUUUUGUAAGUUUAUUAAAUUUUGUGACACUAAAUGACUUCAAAUAAAAAACUUUUCAACUACAAAGUUAUAGAUCACAUUGAAGGCUACAACUUUAAUAUAAAGUUUGUUUUCAUUCAAGUUUAUAUGAAAACGUUAUGAAUUAUUUUUCUAUAUAGAGUUUUUAGAUCGCUUUGUUUUGACCCAGGUGAGACUCAAGACCAAGUUUAGGGACUGAGAUGACACAACUGAAUAAAUUUAAGGACCUAAAUGGGUAAUUUCUAAGUUUAGAAACCAGGAUGACACAUCUGAACAAGUUUAGAGACCGGAAUGAUAUAGACAAACAAGUUUAAUGACCUAAAUGAUCAAUUUAUGAGUUUAGGGACCGAUCGAGGUGAUACAACAGGUGGUGGAUUUUACUAUAAAAACUCACAACAACUCAUGAAGUUGUUGAUGAAGCUGUGCCAAAUAAGGCCUCACUUGCUGACGGUGUUGUCACCCUUUUCUUCUUAUCUCACCCUUUACAGAUCUUUUACAAGAAACAUCUUGUAAACAAAUCGUUGUCACCCUUUUUUUUUUGUUGAGUGACCCCUUCUCGCUCUAGCAAGAUCUUUUGCCGUUCUUCAAAUGGUAACAUGAUGUACCACUCAACAUGCAUGGGAGGUAAAAAAAAUGGUACCUAGGUACUAAUACUUUUGAUAGCUACAGUACCAAACUCAAGUUAUAUAUAGUUUUGAUACCUUACCAACGAUAAAAAAACUCCUUACAAAUGACUUCUAUGGCUUCUUAUAGACACUAGUUGCUAUAUGAUAUAAGGACACAACUAUGACAAUUAAGGAGUGGUGGGGUCUUUAUUAAAGGUUUGUUUGGACUUUGGAUACAAGGCGUAAUUGCUAGUUAGCUAAGAACUAGCUCGUGUAUCUAAAUAUGAGAGUUAAUAGGUGAGUUACUUUUAUAGUCAUUUUUUUUACUAGUCGUUAGUCAACAACCAGUAACUAGCCAUGUGUAUCUAAAUCUCCUACAACUAAAAAGAACAAAACGUGGAUACUUUUUGGUGCGACAUUCUAACGUGGGCCCAUAGUCCUGCCUGCUGCGUUCCCGUGGCCACUCUACAUCGUGCAUGACAUCCCUUGCGAUAUUCAAUUCAAAUCAAGAAUCGAUAUGUCAGGUUCCAGUUUUUAUACGAUUGCCAUAUGAAGCCUUUCCGCCAAAAGCCGUCCGACCACGGUGAAACAAAAAUAAUAAUAAAAUCUGCCCCAAUUCACGGACGGGUGACCAACGUGGCCAUGCAUGAAAGAAAUCGUCUAAAAAAUACUCAACUUUCCAUCUCUUCCGCUCCCUUUUCUUGAGAAAAAUGGUCAACCAUCGUGCAACUAAUCAGGAGACCAUCCCACCGAUCCCGCGUGCACAGCUGGCGGAAGCCCCUCGCGCGGUCACAAUCUCUCCUCAAUCAUGCACGGACAUCGCGUUCCUUAGGCAAAAGCAGAAAUUCCUCUCGAUCAUGCGCCGCCGCAACGAAACAUCUUCCUUUCCUGCCCGACGCCCUCGCUCUCGGUGCUUGGAGAGAUCGAGCCGAGCAUACCGGCUUCCCCUGAAGGCUUGAGACGGACACAGUUGACUGCUUCUUCGUCAUUGAUUGUCGCCAGCAACUGCGCCCUUGGCAUCGGUGUGGCCUUGCAAGAUUGGAUCUUUUUGUUUUCAUCCCAAUCAUCGCCAUGGCGGCCUCCUCCCCCUGAACGAUGAACGCAGCUGCUUCGUCAUUGAUGAUCAGCUUCUGACCCUUCACCAAUCUCUAUCCCCUAUUAUUUGUUCCAUCAUCUGUUCCACUUUCCACGAUUGAUUCAGUACUGGUGUUGCAAACUUAUUUCGAUUCUCAAAAAGCGAACAACCUGAUCGGUUUGGUAAGCAUCUUUCUAUUCCAGGCUAUCGAAGCUCUCAUUAAGCUUUUUGAUUCAGUUUGUGCCAAAGGUACGUUCUUGGCAAAUGCGAGCUGGCACCAUGAAGCAAAUUAUAGCUAUUGGAGUCCAGUAGAUAAUAUCUUGUGUGAUCUCCUUGUUCUUAAAUAGUGUAAUUUAAGAAAAAACUUAUUCAUGUUUGUUCUCUUCGACCUUUUUAGAUACAAGACACAGAUUAUUAUAUUGAUAUCAUAAUUGGUUGUGGCAUUGAGGUGUGUAAAUUUAUGCUUUUCUCUUUUCUGUCGGUGUUUAAACUCUCUUCUGAAUUCAUGCCAUCCAUUGACUCCAGGUGAGAAACACCUCCUGUUGUUUAAUUGUUUUUUUGCUCUUGCUUUCAGUAUGAAUAGUCAAAUAUAGUCAAAACAAUAACCUGGUUCAGUAGUAAUAAGGAAUCAAGCUAUUGCAACACUUCUUGUCAAAAAAAUGCAGCACUUCUAGAGUUGCUACGGGUUUUAAAAUUCUCACUUGCUGCACAUUAGGAGACGAAAUUCUUGGUUUCAGUUAGCAGAGUGACACUUAUCACUGUUAUCUAUAAGGCAAAUCUAACAACAUAGCACAGAUUGUGGACAUCAGUUUUUUUUUAGAAAGUGGACAUUGUGGGCGGCUGAGCGGGCACCUACGGGUGGGCGCGGCCGGCGUCAUGGCCAGCUCUGGGCGGGCGCGGGGUGGGGGAGGGGGGUGAUCAAGGCUGAAUCACAGGAAGGUUUCCUUUUAGGUGCUGUUAGCUUGGUUGGCUAAUCCCACACGCUUGAGGAGUUGCCUCUAGGAGGGGGCUGAAAUCACUUGGAGUUUCUUUUGAAUAUCGCAACGGGUGGAAAUAUUGAUCACGAAAAAAGUGGAAACAAAUAGCACCUUGGCUCUUUCCUUUUGAAUAUAGCAAAGGAUGCUGUAGGUGGGCGACGACGUUGUAGGCUCACAAAAUCACUGUCGUUUGCAAUAACAAAUACCUAUGAUUUAACUAUUUCUAUAUAUUGCUGAUCAUGAAUCUUCCUACAGGUACUUAAGUGGAUUUCUCAUCCUACAAUAUAUGUCUACAUGGAAUAGACCAAAAGCCACACAUAUUUAUACAGUGAGUCUAACACUUUGUCUAAGUUUUUGUAAAAGUUUUUUAACAAAAUAUAGUAUUACCCAUGCGACACACACUAAUAUUUACAUAUAUAUACUCGAAUGUGUGACAGGAUGGUACGAAGAUGCGGCAGAAUUUAUUUGUGGAUUUACUGGCACAUGAAAGAAAUGGAUAUCCGAGAUAUCUUCCCGUCGAUAUUAAACAUUAUCUUAGCCGUAUCACGGAAAGGUCUAUAAAGUAGAGUUUGUGAGCCUACAACGUCGUGCUCUUCGUGACUGUGUUUGAUUUCACAAACAUUGCGAUCCUACAAUGUCAUUUUCAAGUUGUUAUUUAAGUAGAAGAUUCUAAUAUUAUUAUCUUGUUAUGCGAUCUAUGUAUUUUAAAUAAAAAAUGUUAGCUAUCCCGUAGCAACGCACGGGCAUGCUAUCUAGUAGAGUAGAAUUGUAAAAGAGAACAAUGGUAAUUCUAGUGUACUAUUCUUGAGAUGUCUAGAAAUAACAAAAUAGAAGGGCUUUGCACGGAAAGAGGAAUGUACUGUGAAAAACAUGGCAUAACUUAUGCCGAGGCUGUUCGUUCCGUUAAAAAAAUAAGUUGAAAAGAAAGUAAUGUUCACUAAUUUAUUGUGUGAGAAAAAUAUUGUAUCAUAGCUGAUAAGUCUGUAGUGUCAUUGUUAUAUUCGUUUGUAACAUAAAUUUGCAAAACUCUACAUUUAACAUUUUCUCUUUUUUUUAGAAAAAAAUGGACAGACACGAGAGCUACCUUUUAUAUAGUACAGUCAGGCUUCUCCUUACGUGAUUGAGCAAAGCUCGGUUGAGCAAACAAGGAUGACACAUCUGAACAAGUUUAGAGACCGGAAUGAUAUAGACAAACAAGUUUAAUGAUCUAAAUGAUCAAUUUAUGAGUUUAGGGACCGAGAUGAUACGACAGGUGAUGGAUUUUACUAAAAAAACUCACAACAACUCAUAAAGUUGUUGAUGAAGCUGUGCCAAAUAAGGCCUCACUUGCUGAUGGUGUUUUCACCCUUUUCUUCUUAUCUCACCUUUUACAGAUCUUUUACAAGAAACAUCUUGUAAACAAAUGGCUUAACUCUUUUUGUUGAGUGACCCCUUCUCGCUCUAGCAGGAUCUUUUGCCGUUCUUCAAAUGGUAACAUGAUGUACCACUCAACAUGCAUGGGAGGUAAAAAAAUGGUACCUAGGUACUAAUACUUUUGAUAGCUACAGUACCAAACUCAAGUUGUAUAUAGUUUUGAUACCUUACCAACGAUAAAAAAACUCCUUACAAAUGACUUCUAUGGCUUCUUAUAGACACUAGUUGCUAUGAUAUAAGGACACAACUAUGACAAUUAAGGAGUGGUGGGGUCUUUAUCAAAGGUUUGUUUGGACUUUGGAUACAAGGCGUAACUGCUAGUUAGCUAAGAACUAGCUCGUGUAUCUAAACAUGGGAGUUAAUAGGUGAGUUACUUUUAUAGUCAUUUUUUUGACUAGUCGUUAGUCAACAACCAGUAAUGUGGGGGUAUAAACCCCUAUACCCUUACGGCUAGACUUCGGCCAGGAGGCUUGGCCCAUUACGAGACGAGUCCAAGGCUUGAUCCGACAACCUGGAGUUUCGCGCAAGGAAACAAGAUGUGGAGAUCAAGCAGGAUUCUAGUCGGUUAGAAUAGAAAUUGAUAUCGAAUUAUCCAUGACAAUUGUAACCGACUAGGGUUAGUUUCCGGAUCUGUAACCCUGCCCUCCAGACUAUAUAAGGAGAGGCAAGGGACCCCCCUAGGACAUCAUAUUCUCUCAACACAAAUCAAUACAACCAGACGCAGGACGUAGGUAUUACGCCAACUCGGCGGCCGAACCUGGAUAAAAAGCUUGUCCGUGUCUUGCGUCACCAUCGAGUUCGUAGUUUGCGCACCGUCUACCGAUAAACUACUACCGUGGGUAUACCCCAAGGUAGACUGCCGACUAGCUUUCGUCGACAGUGGCGCGCCAGGUAGGGGGUGUGCGUGCAACUUUUCCGGCGAACAAGAUGGUCACGAUCCCAGCUUCCGCGACCGUGCCCGAAGGCCUCACGUUCACCGUCGGCCAGAUCACGUGGACGGCGUGCAGCGGCGGCUUCACGACCACGGUUUCGGAAGAGAUCCAGAUCCAAUCUGAGUUCACGCCGUCUCCGACCACACGCAUGACGGCACCAAGCGCCCGACCACCGUUCCCACUCUACAAGGGAAAGGAGAUCGACUGCUCGGACCUUCUCCAAGCGCUUGAUCGCGCUGACUCCAAGCUACUCGAAGUUUCCCAACUAAUAGAUGGAGUUCUGCGUCGGCCCGACCAAGCUGCUCCAGCGGAUUUUUUCAAAUCCCGCCGGCCAACUCGUGUCGCCACACACGAACGGCUGGGAACGUCUCUGACGAUAACCUCAACCCCCUCAGGACGAUCCGUCCAGCUCAAGAAGGAAGACUAUCCUUGCGGCCUGAACAACUCGACCUCUGUUUACUCACGGCACACCCAAUCCGUUUUCAGCAAGGCGGGUUGGUCGCCGACAACGAACAAUCGUCACCACGUCAACAUGGUGACAAUCCGAGAACUACGGGACGGCCAGGCUUCCAGCACCAACUCAAGCACCGGCUCCGUCCCCACCGAGGUUAUAAACACCGAAGACGAGGACUAUGACCUGGAUUUCCCUUCAUACCCUCCGGGUUUCGACCGAUUCCCGAUAUUCCCCCCCCGGCGAGGGGAUAUUGUGUUCAAUGUCAGCGCCGACGAACCGGUCGUUGAUGGAGAAACAGAUGACCAGAGGCAACUCCGCGAACGGCGUAACGCCGAUCGCGCCCGACGACGCGCGGACGAGCAACAACAAAUGCCACCAAAUAAUCUCAACGAUGCCUUUGACAUGGUCGGGGACCAGCCAGUCUACAAAACGCCAAGCGCCAACGUGGCUGUCGCCAUGGCUAACCUGGAUCGGCUUCCCGACACCCCCGAAUGCCAGGGAGUCCGGACCAGCAUCCGAGCACACCUGAUCGCCGCAAUGGGACAGACGGCCACUCUGCUCAAGAGAGUCUAGGACGUCUCUUAUACGGAAGCCGUCUCCGACCAGACUAAUCAUAGCCGGGCCUCACCCAGCAGGCGUCACCGCAGCCGCUCCCCCGACAACCGUCGAGGGGACUCACGGCGCGACGAUGGUGGUCGGGACGCCGAUGGCCGCCGCAAGCAGAACCGCGUACGCGGCCAAGAGGAAGAUCAACACAGGGAUCUCCGCCACAACAUCCCUUCCAAAGAUGCCCGGGACCACAUCAACAGGCGCGCUGCAGAGAGAGCAGUCCACGAAAACCUGCGCCGCAUCGAGUACGAUGCAACACACGGUCCCCCGGGCCUAAGACAGUUCUCCUCGCACCUCCGCCAGGUCGUGUGGCCCCGCAAUUUCAAGCUCGAAAAACUCAAAAAGUACGACGGCAAGGAAAAUCCAGAGAACUGGAUCACCCUCUAUGACAUCGCCGUCCGAUCAGCGGCAGGGGACGAGCACGUCAUGGCUAACUACUUCCCCGUAGUCCUCGACCAGGCUGGUCAUCAGUGGCUUCUCGGCUUGCCCGAGGACUCCUUCGACUCUUGGGAAGAGCUACGCCAGGCUUUCAUCGACAACUUCAUCGCCACAUGCGAGCAGCCUGGAAACAAGUAUGACCUUGAAAGGAUAAGGGACAGGAAGAACGAACCUCUGCGCGAUUACAUCCGACGAUUCUCGGAUAUGCGCCUCAAAAUCCCGAAGAUUUCUCAUGACGAGGCCAUCUCAGCCUUCAUCAAGGGCCUGCGUUUCCACGAAGCGCUGAGGAACAAGCUGUUGCGUAAGCGUCCAACAACGGUAGCAGAGCUCCUCGCCACGGCCAAAAAUUACGCCGAUGCCGAUGACGCAGAAAAACUAAUCCGAGACGAUGCGAGGGGUCCCGACCAGCCUCCCCGACGAGAUGAUGGUCGUGGUCGCAACGACAGCAGAAAUCACCGCCGCUCCGACAACCGCGAUCAUCGAGAGGGUUGGGAUCGGCGGCGCGACAGCCGCGAUGACUUCAGAGGAAAGCGCCCUCGCGACUACGACCACGAAGUAAAUACGGUCAAACGACCCAAUGGACGACGGGACUACCAAGAAGACUACAACAAAACGUUGAGGGGACCAUGCCAACUACACCCAAAGUCCAAUCAUACCAUGGAAGAGUGCCGCGUCCUCAAAAGUAUCUAUACACGGCGGGCCGCCCAAGACGACUCCGCCAAGAAAAACAACAAGCGCGACGCGCACGACCACGAAGAUGAGGAUGAGGACCAAGAUAGGGACCCCCGACACCAAUACGUCAGCCCCACUGACGUGGUCCACUCCAUUUUCGGGGGCAAGGUCUCCACUGAGUCCAAGCGAGAAAGAAAGCUGUUAAAGAGAGCCUGCCUCAACAUAGACAGCACGGACGGGCUGAUCGCAGACCCGAAAUUUCCCACGUGGUCCCACAGGGAGAUCUCGUUCAGCAGGAAGGACCAGUGGGCCGCUAUCCCAGAGCCGGGUCGUUUCCCCCUGAUUCUUGACCCCUGCAUCAACAGCAUCAGAUUCGAGCGCGUGCUCGUGGACGGGGGAAGCUCCAUCGACAUCCUCUUCCGCAACAGCCUGCCCGCCCUCAAGAUAUCCCCGGCACAACUAAAACCUUACGACGCCCAAUUCUGGGGGGUUUUGCCAGGUCAAAGUUCCGUGCCUCUCGGACAGAUAACAUUGCCUGUCCAAUUCGGCACACCCGACCACUUCCGGACAGAGUUCAUCAACUUCGUAGUCGCGGAUUUCGACGGGACCUAUCACGCCAUACUGGGCCGCCCAUCGCUGACAAAGUUCAUGGCAGUCCCGCACUACUCAUACCUAGUCCUUAAGAUGCCCACGGAGAAGGGUGUCCUAACCAUCAGAGGCAACGUCUACACUGCGUACACCUGCGAAGAAGAAAGCUUCAAGAUCACCGAGGCAAUUGACCUCUCAAUCCGCAUGGCGGAAACAGCAAACCAAGCCGCACAGCUGCCUCCCGACCAGCUCCGAUUACCCGAACAGGCGACAGCCAGGAAGAACUCAAAAUCCAAGGAGUACAAAGAAGUGCAGCUGGUCGAAGGCAACCCCGAGAAGACAGCCCUCAUCGGGGCCAACCUGGAUCCAAAAUAGGAAGACGCGCUCGUCAGGUUUCUAAGGGACAACGUGAGCGUUUUCGCAUGGAAACCCGCAGACAUGCCCGGUGUCCCACGAAACCUGAUCGAGCACUCCUUAAAUGUCUCGAAGACCGCAAGACCAAUCAAGCAAAAACUGCGACGGUUCGCUCGUGACAAAAAGGAGGCUAUUAGGACAGAAAUAACACGGCUUCUAGCAGCCGGAUUCAUAAAAGAAGUGUAUCACCCCGAUUGGCUCGCCAAUCCGGUUCUUGUACGCAAAAAGAAUAAUGAAUGGAGAAUGUGCGUUGAUUACACUGAUCUCAACAAACACUGUCCUAAAGAUCCUUUUGGUCUCCCUCGCAUCGACGAGGUGGUCGACUCAACGGCCGGAUGCGAACUCCUCUCCUUUCUAGACUGCUACUCUGGUUAUCACCAGAUCUCGCUAAAGGAAGAAGAUCAGAUCAAAACAUCCUUUAUCACACCCUUCGGCGCAUACUGCUACACGACCAUGUCUUUCGGACUCAAAAACGCCGGAGCCACUUAUCAAAGGGCCAUCCAGCAAUGCCUCCACGACGAGAUUCGUGAUGACCUCGUCGAGGCCUAUGUGGACGACGUGGUCGUAAAAACAAGGGACGCGAGCACCCUAAUCGACAACUUAGACCGAACCUUCAAGGCACUUAAUAGGUACAAGUGGAAGCUCAACCCCAAGAAAUGCAUUUUCGGCGUUCCUUCCGGUCUACUGCUCGGCAACGUUGUCAGUUGCGACGGCAUACGACCAAACCCUUCAAAAGUAAAGGCGGUACUCGACAUGCGACCACCGAAGAACGUAAAGGAUAUCCAAAAGCUAACAGGAUGUAUGGCCGCCCUCAGUCGCUUCAUCUCAAGGCUAGGAGAAAAAGGCCUCCCUUUCUUUAAACUGUUAAAAGCGUCGGAAAAAUUUUUUUGGACAGAAGAAGCCGACACCGCAUUCAACCAGCUUAAGACCUUCCUCACUUCACCACCUGUCCUUACAGCCUGGAGUUUCGCACAAGGAAACAAGAUGUGGAGAUCAAGCAGGAUUCUAGUCGGUUAGAAUAGAAAUUGAUAUCGAAUUAUCCAUGACAAUUGUAACCGACUAGGGUUAGUUUCCGGAUCUGUAACCCUGCCCUCCAGACUAUAUAAGGAGAGGCAAGGGACCCCCCUAGGACAUCAUAUUCUCUCAACACAAAUCAAUACAACCAGACGCAGGACGUAGGUAUUACGCCAACUCGGCGGCCGAACCUGGAUAAAAAGCUUGUCCGUGUCUUGCGUCACCAUCGAGUUCGUAGUUUGCGCACCGUCUACCGAUAAACUACUACCGUGGGUAUACCCCAAGGUAGACUGCCGACUAGCUUUCGUCGACAAGUAACUAGCCAUGUGUAUCUAAAUAGAGUAGAAUUGUAAAAGAGGACGAUGGUAAUCCUAGUGUACUAUUCUUGAGAUGUCUUGAAAUAAUAAAAUAUAGAAGGGCUUUGCACGAAAAGAGGAUGUGAAAAACAUGGCUUAUGCCGAGGCUGUUUGUUCGGUUAAAAAAAUAAGUUGAAAAUAAAGUAAUGUUCACUAAUCUAUUGUGUGAGAAAAAUAUUGUAUCAUAGCUGAUAAGUCUGUGUGUCAUUGUUAUAUUCGUAACAUAAAUUUGCAAAACUCUACAUUUCUCCCUUUUUUUUAAAAAAAAUGACAGACACGAGCUACCUUUUAUAUAGUACAGUCAGGCUUCUCCUUACGUGAUUGAGCAAAGCUCCUGCCAUUUCUUAAAAAAAUGCAAGCUCGGUUGAUAAGGGUUUUGCCGUUUGAGGCUUCCGUUGAGCAUCACGUUUGUGUAAACUCAGAAAAUAAACUAAAAGCUGCUGUGAAGUGAUUUCGUGGCUUUUGAUUUGUUCUGGAAGCUAAAUAAAUAUUAAAUAAAUUUAAUAAUAAAAAUACAGCUACAAAAUCAGCUUUUAUGUCAGAAGUACAAAAGGUACCGCUCAAACAAACUAGCCCUUAGGGGGGCGUUUGGUUGCCUACACCAGUCCUCCUGAGCCAGGCUCUCCGCGUGCGAGAACAGACAUUUGUUUGGUUGGCAUAUGUGCCGAGCGAGGCUACACGCGUGCAAAAAGCCUCUCGCAGCCAGGCUCUGCUGAAACGCAGAAAUCGGCCGUUUUUGUUGGGCCUGGCUCACCUCAUGCGAGCAAGCACUGAACGAUGCAUGACGUGUGAGAUAGAGAUACGUGAACACGGUGAACCAAACAGAUGCUGCUGUUGGCCUAGCUGUAGUGAUCCAAGUAACCAAACAAGAUGCUAUCGCAUACAUAGAGCCUGGUCAAAGUUGGCCUGACUAGCUCUGUGCGAGCUAGGCUCUACCGAGCAACGAACCAAACAGUCUCUAGAUGUCUUCUUCUCACUGUGUGAAAAAAUGGCAUUACAGACGCGCCUUUACUGAUAUCACAGAUGCUCCUGAGUGCGUCAGUGAUAUAAAGUCUGAUAAAUAUUUAAUAAGACCUUAAUACUGACGCACUUCUAACAUCCGUAUGUAAGUAACACAUAGACACGUCAGUAGUAAAGCUUUUUCAGCGACGCCUAUCUAGAACACACGUCAUUAAGGUCCAGCUCGUCAGUACAAAAUUCUAACUGCAGACGCUUCUUCAGGAAUAGGGGUCUGUAGUAAGGAUUAAGCCACAGACGCAUUAUCCAGAGACGCGUCUACAGUAUGAAUUAAAUUGUAACAGUACCAUCGGCAUAUCUCUGUACUAAAUACCUCAAUGAAACGACAUAAAUACACAUCAACAUCUCAUUAAUUAGUACACAGCUUUAACACAAUCAAAUACAGAUCAAAGUUUAAUCACUAAAUUAAAUGUGUAGCUCUAAUAAAGUCACGUUACCUUAUGGCUGGCUAUCGAAUAACUUAUUUUGUAGCUUGAUCAAAACUGGCUCGUGGUCACCAGCGCACCAUGUGUGUCCAUUCAUCCAUGGCAGCUUAGGCGCGUGGCUUUGGCUUUGUGUCUCCCACCUCUCUAGUGAACGCGAUAGCUCUUGAAGUUUUUAUAUUUUCCAAAAUAAUUUCAAUUUUAAACGCGUACUAAAACAAAUUCAGGGUUACUGAUACAAAAUAUGAGAUCGGGUCGUAGAAAAAAGUGCCGAGAGAAAAACUUUUAGAAUAAAAAUAUAGAAAACUUUUGAAGAUGAUUUCUUUUUUUACUCCUCAUGUUAAUCUAGGAGUUCAUAAACAUGAUAUUUUGGGGAAUAUAAUAUAAAAGAUCUCUUGGAGAUGCUAUCUUUUCUUCCACCUCUCUAGUGAACGGUAUAGCUCUUGAAGCACAAAUCCAAUUCUACGGACGUUCAUUCAUUCUACCUCUUGAAGCUUUCAUAUUUUCCAAAAUAAUUUCAGUUUUCAAGACAUAUUCACUGGAACAGCCUCCCAAUAUCUAUUCAAAAUGUAUUCACACGAAAAAGUAAAUAUAUAUUCCAAAUGAGCAAAAUUCCUUAUUUGGUCAAACUUGCGUAGGAUUCCAAAAGGGUUUUUUUGAACGGUGCCAUUACAAUUUCAAAGUAUUUGAAAUAUGCCAUUAUAAUUCAGGUAUCCUGAAGCGGACCAUUACAAUUCUUGCAAAAUUUGAAAUAUGCCAUUGGAUACGGUAGAAGGACGCUUGGGCCUGCUUGCAAGCCGACGUGGCAUACGGUCGACCGUAUGCGCCCGUCGCCGUGAGCCAUCUAAACGGCGCGGCAAAAAACGCCGUCUCCACCCCGCCCCUGACUCAUUCUCGCUCUCCAUCUCUCUGUCUCUCUCGAGCGUAACCCUAGGCGCGGCGGCGGCGGCGUGGCGGCGGCGGCGCAGGGGGAGGCAAUGGAAUAGGGGCGCAUGUCCAUGGCAGACGUGCCCCCGUGCACGGCGCAGCGCAGGGCGCCGCGGAUGGGGGAUAGCAACGAAAGGUAAUGUUUUGUCCUUCCAGAGCACGAAUACGAGUGCAUUAGGUCUUGAUCUGUUGAUUGGCAUUAGAUAUUGAUGUGAUUUGGUUGAUGCUAGGGUUCCGCUAUUUUCUUUAGAAAUUAAAGUGGAAGCAUUCUGUUGGAGAGACUCUUUGGGUAGGAAAGCUUACACAAAGGGCUCUGUAAUUAAGUGGGAUGUGGAGAUUGGCUCGUUUUCAUUUGAUGUACUGAUGGCCAGCUUGCGCAAUGCUGUCAAUUGCUCUACUACUCAGUGUCCAGUUGCUUGGUUCUAUGAUAAAAGGUUGUCUCAAGAUGUCAUGCUAGAAAAUCAAUUCCAGAUUAAUGAUAUGUUUGAGAUGUAUAAGGAGGAGAUGCAUUGCCACAUUGUCGUAGGGGUAUUUGAUCAGUCUGUUCCCACUAUUGAUCAAUUUGAUGAACUAGAUCUUCCUCCUGACACUAGCACUGGCAACCCAGCCAGUACUGACAGUUAUGUUAACCAGCCCACAUUUGAGGCAGAUGUUGCACCAGAGGCUGAAGUUGAGACUCAACUUGAGCCUGAUAGGGAACCUGAUAUGUUUGAUAACGAUGAGGAGUAUGUGGGUUGUGAUGAUGAGGGCAUGUACAUGCCAACACCACCAACACAGCCUCCUAGUAAUUCACCUCCACAUGCUUCUCAUGAUGCUGAAAAUGCUGAUGCUGAUGCUGAUGCUUUUCCUGUUGAGGCAGAGGUCACUGAUGCAGACCCUGAAGAGAUCAAUAUCAUUCAUGACCCAGAACAUCCCAAGAUUGUAAAGGGGGAGUUAUUUCCUGAUAUUGUUUCAUUCAGGAAAGCUAUCAGGCAUUUCUCUGUUACUAAAGGCUAUGUGUUAGCUGGUAUCAAAACAGACCCAUCAAGAUUUAUUGCAAAGUGCAAAUCCGAGGGAUGUCCUUGGCGCAUACAUGCAUCUAGGCUGCAGGGUAGAAAGACAAUACAGGUAACUGUCUAUUCACUAGUUCCUUUGUGCAAGUUUUAUUUUUUCUUUACCUGACAUGUUUCGUAUGCACAGAUCAAAGUACUGCCUGCAGAAGAUGGCAUCACAGUCUUGGUGUGCAGAUAGGCUGGCAGAUUGGAUAAAAAAACAUCCAACAAAACGUGCAAAAGAGUGCAGGGAGAAGUUGGAAGAUGAUUAUGGCAUCAAGCUGAAGUAUUCAAAGGCUUGGUCAGGUAUGCAGUGCGCAUUGGAUCAAAUCCAUGGUAAAUAUGAGGAAAGUUUUCAACUGCUAUUCAAUUGGGGUGCUCAAAUUGAAAAGGUAUCUCUUGGUAGCACUGUAGUGGUAGAGGUUGACAAAAUUGGUAAGAAGAACAGAUUCAAAAGAAUGUUUGUUGCUCUAAAGCCUUAUGUAGAUGGAUUCUUGGCUGGUUGUAGGCCUUUUUUGGGUAUAGAUGCAUCUUGUUUGAAUGGAAAGUAUAGAGGUCAGCUAGCUUCAGCAACCAGUGUAGAUGGACAUAAUUGGUUGUAUCAUGUAGCUUAUGGCAUUUUUGACAUAGAAAAUGAAGACAACUGGACAUGGUUCUUGCAACUUCUUAGUAGAGCAAUUGGGCCUGUCCCAAAUCUUGUAGUUUGUACAGAUGCAUGCAAAGGCGUGGAGAAUGCAGUGGGUAAAACUUUUCCAACAGCUGAGAAUAGGGAAUGCAUGAGACAUAUGUACCAAAACUUUUAUGAAGCACUAUUCUAGUGAUGUAUUCACAGACCACCUUAUCCUACAGCUAGAAGUUACACUCAAGAAAAAUUCCAGUGGCACAUGAAUCAGAUACAUGAGUAUGCUCCUCAAGCUAUAGAAUAUAUUGAGAAUUACCACAGCAGGAUAUGGUACAGGUGUGGGUUCUCAGAAAGUAGCAAGUGUGAUUAUUUGACCAACAAUGUGUCAGAAAGCUUCAAUGCACAGGUGAAGCACCUCAAAGGUUUAUUAUUACAUGAACUGGUAGAUGUUGAUAUUUGGUAACGCAAUAAGGAAAUAAUCCGCAAGCGCACGGAUAUCGGUGAGCAUUUCACCCGGGAGGUUUUCCAGAGUAUCGUAUUUAUAUUUUUACCACUGGGAGAAAGGGUGCAUCUGACUAACCAAAUCUAUUGCUACUAUCCCUUUAGGCUACAAAGAAUGUUUCUCAAUGUGAGUGAUAUAUAGAGAAGACUGCAACCGUAGUCUCGUUCUAACCUUGGUAAGGAUGAUCUACUGUUCUAUUGGGGAAGCUUACGGAAUCUAGACACCACAAAGGAUGUUUGACCCGCACCUAUAAACCUACCCGUCCUGCUAACAAGAUAUGGGAUACAAAGGUAACUCGGAAAUGUCACGUUCCUCGCUACUACCACGGUCCAGCUAGUCAGGGGAUAUCUAUGAGUACCCUAGUGAAAGGUCCUAAUAUGGCUAGAGGGGGGUGAAUAGCCUAUUUAAAAAUUCUACAAACUCACUAGAGCGAGAGGUUAGUAAAUAACAAAGCGAAGCCUUUUGCUCUAGCUCUAAUGGGGUGUUUGCAAGCCACCUGUCCAACAAUUCUAGUUGAUAUAAUCACUAGACACACAAGAGCUAUGUCACUACUUACACUAGAAAGCUACCUAAAGUUUCUAUACAAGUAAGUAAGCUACUCUAGUUUGCGGGAAUGUAAAAGAGAUGGUUUUAACUUUAUACCGCCGCAUAGAGGGGAUGAACCAAUCACUAAUAUGAAGUCCAAUCACCGGGAGAAAUCCAAUGAACAAUCACAAUGGAUACACACAAUUUUACUCCCGAGGUUCACGUGCUUGCCGGCACGCUACGUCCCCGUUGUGUCGACCAACACUUGGUGGUUCGGUGGCUAAGAGGUGUAGCACGAACCUCGUCCUCACUAGGACACCACAAGAACCUACCCACAAGUGAGGUAGCUCAAUGACACGAGCAAUCCACUAGAGUUACCUUUCGGCUCUCCGCCGGGGAAGGUACAAGACCCCUCACAAUCACCGGGAGAUGGCCACGAACAAUCACCAACUCGUGCUAAUCCUCCUCCGUUGCUCCAAGCCGUCUAGGUGGCGGCAACCACCAAGAGUAACAAGAAAACCGCAGCUAGAACGAUCCCCAAGUGCCACUAGAUGCAAUCACUCAAGCAAAUUCACUUGGAAUCACUCCCAAUCUCACAAAGAUGUUUAAUCUAUGAAGGAGAUGAGUGGGAGGUGUUUGCUUAGGCUCACAAGGAUGUUAUGUAUGUUAGAAUGCCAAGAGAGUGAGCCCCAAGCCGGCCAAACACGUAUUUAUAAGCCCCUCAAGCAAAUAGAGCCGUUGGCACUUUCACUGGGCAAACUGCGGGGUCACCGGACGCUCUCAAAGGGGCACCGGACGCUCAACACCAGCGUCCGGUGCUCCAACGUCAGCCAUGUGUCGCCUUUUGAAAAACUCGUGUCAGAGUCUAACGGUCACCUGCAGUGCACCGGACGCUAAGCAAGUUAGCACCGGACGCGUCCGGUGCACACCGGACUCAUGCGCAGAGAGCUCCGCAAACUCGCACGGUCACCGGACGCAAGCCACCGGACGCACCCUGAGCAUCCGGUGCUCACCGAACUCAUGCGCAGAGAGGGUUGCAAAACGCCCUCACACCGGACGCUAACCACCGGAAGCGUCCGGUGCUCACCGGACCCAUGCGCAGAGAGGGUCGCAAAACGCCCACACACCGGACGCGCACCACCGGACGCUCAAGCCAGCGUCCGGUGCCUAUCGUCCGGUGCCUUACCCUAGCUGGGCCAGGCACUGUCUGCACCGGACGCUCAGACGCAGCGUCCGGUGCUCCAGAAGCCAGCGUCCGGUGAGUGUUUUCUCAGCGAGAAACACUCCCACGACUACUCCAAAUUUCCUACCGACGCAAUAGAAAAUAUGCAUUUUAUUUUCUCGAAAAGCGCCGAAUCCCACCUCGCAAGCUCGGCGGGAGGGAGAGAGGAACCCAUCCUCUCUCUACGUACUCUUCAAACUCCACCUCCUUCUCAAAGUGUGCCAACACCACAAGUGUAAACCAACAAGUGUGCACGUGUGUUAGCAUUUUCACAAUCAUUUUCUUAGAAGGAGUUAAGUUAGCUCACUAGGUUCUAAAUGCAUACACAUGAACAAUGACACCUAGUGGCACUUGAUAACCGCUUAGCCAAAGAAUUCCCCUCUUUAUAGUACGGCUAUCUAUCCUAAAUGUGAUCACACCCUCUAUGGUGUCUUGAUCACCAAAACCAAAACCCUAAGCAAUACCUUUGCCUUGAUCUCCAUAGGGUUUUGUUUUUCUCUUUCUUCUUUUCCAAGUUGAGCACUUAAUCAUCUUGUGGUCAUCACCAUGAUCAUCAUGAUCAUCACUUGCUCCAUCACUUGGCAUGUACCAACCUCAUUAAGUCUACACACACUUAGUAUAGAGGUUAGUACUAGGGUUUCAUCAAUUAUCCAAAACCAAACUAGGGCUUUCACCUAGCCUAAACACCACGUUUACGCUAGCAAUAAUUACUCUAAUACUCAACCGGAAGAGGAUUAAAUUAAACUCAUAAACCAAAGAACAAUAAAACAAGAACUUACUAGAAUUAGAAGUCGAAUUACUGAAGAAUCUUAGAAGCAAGCCUCGGGUUAGAAGACUUGAUCCCGCAGGUACAACUCGGAGUAGACACCGACAGGUCGGCCUUCCUCCGAUCUACACCUCCACUCUAUCUCUCUCAAUCUAGUAGAAACUAGAAGAUCUAUUUCUACUUACAUUGGUUGCUAAGCCUAAAAAAAUAUUAUUUAGAGAAGAGGUUUUCCUUCGAGGGCACCCCUCAAUCUCUAUGAUAACUUCUUGUCUUCUCCAGGGGCCAGGGGGGUCUCCUUAUAUAGUCCUCCUCCUCUAUGCGUUUUUGGGUCGGUAGGCGAUGUGGUACUACAUUAUCCUUGAUCCAUUAGGUCGGUGGAACAUCGUGUGCGAAGAGAGUCCCGAACGGAGUCUAGGACACGGCGGGCGCCCAGGGAAAGAGGGCGGGCGCCCUGGGCCUGGCCCCUUUCGGCCUCUGCUUUCUUCCCGUGGCUUCUGGAGUCUUCUAGAUGGUAGAAAAUUACGCGGUGCGUUGAUAUCUCUAUGUAAUCCCGACAUGUGGGCCUUUCUUCCGUAUUUUUUGAUAACCCCCUGCAGAAAUAGACAAACACCAAAACUCAUGGAAUUCUGUCAGAUAAAACCCUAAGUCUAGAUGUUGAUUUCAUUUGGAUCCUUUUCUUUGUUUAUUUGAUAAUUAAAUUUGAUACUUAAGGACCGUCAACAGUAGACAGAAUUAGAGAGCUUAUAAUGGAGAAGAGAUAUUUGAGGAAGAAAGUUGCUAGGCAGUGGGAAGAUGGAAUCCUCCCAAAUGUGAUGAAGGAUUGUUGGGUAUUCUUAACAUCAUUACCAAAAGUAGACUAAGUUCUCUAAAUCUAGUAACGGUGCCAAAAAUGCCAAACCUAUCCCUCACACCACUUAAGCCAAGUUGUCAUCCCCAGCAUGACAUGAGAGACGCGGUAUUGAAAUAUGCAAUUGCUCUUCUAAAUAAAUAAUGAAUGAGAUCUGCAAGCGCACAGAUUAAUACCGAUGUAGCAUUUUAACCGGGAAGUAUUCUAGGUAUCGUUAUUUAUAUUUUUACCACUGGGAAGGGAUUAGCAAUCAUCACUAUUGAUUACAGAAUAGAAUAUGAGAUUGAGCAUCUAUCAUUGCAUGUAUAAUUGAGAACAUUUAUCUAACUCUUCAUACAGGGAUAAGUGUCACAUAAAAGAUAUAUGAAAUAAUAAUAGUGACAAGGAUAACUAAUCUGAUCUAGCCACAUAAUAAAUAUGAUAAGCACCUCAAUUAGAUACUCUAGAAAGUCAUUAGCAUGGUAUUAGAACGAACUAUAAGAAUAUUCCCUAAGUUAUUCUCAACUAUAUAGUUUAGCAUUAUCAUAGUUAGUGCAAGCAUACUUAGCAAUCAUUGUGAGACAAGACUACGCCCAUGCAUAGUGAUAUUAGCAAGGAAUAUGAGAAACAUAGCAAUCACUCCCCUAUAAUAAUGUUGCUCUGCCAGCCCAAUACACGAGAGGGGGACUAUAUAAGAAUCAAUGAAGCUGUCACUAUCACGAACCACCCCACGAUCUGGCAUAUUGGGUACAAUCGCAGAUAAAUAUGGUAUAAGCACCACGCCUACACAAUAUCUAUCAUUUACCCAUGGAUCCGAUGGAUAAACGCUAUACGAUCCUAAGCAUGUAUAUAGAUCGAAUCUAACUAAGCCAAGUACAUAACUAUGAUAAACUAAGAACAAUAUAAUCUUGAAUAUAAGCAAGUAGAGCAAAGUCAUAAGCAAUAUAUUGAAGUAGAACAAAGUCAUAUUUAUAAUAUUGAAGAACAAAGAUAAUUAGAAAGUAAUUAGAAGCACAAUUAGAGAAUUACCAAGAAUCCUCUUGACAGAUCCGGAAACCAAUCGAAGAUUGACUCCUUCUAGUUCUAAUCCUAUGUAGCUAUGCUAAUCUAGAUAUCUAAUUGAUGUGGUGGCUCUAAUCUUGAUCAGAGGCUUCUUCUCCCUUGAAGAACAAUGAAUUAGGGUUGAGAGGCUCCCCCCUCUAGGGGCCAGGGGGUCUGGUUUUAUAGUCCCUUCAAGUGAAUAUGGGCCGUUGGAUCAAACCGACAUAGAUUGUAUGGUUUAGAUUCAUCCUUUAGGUCGGUGGAAAUCUCCCACGAAGCAGAGUCCUGAUUGGACUCAGGAGGUGGGCGGGCGCCCUGAUCACCUGGGCGGGCGCCCAGGGUCACGCCCCGUUUCGCCUCCGCUUCGGUUUCGUGGCUUCUGGAGUCUUCUAGAUGUAAGAUAAUUGCGCGACACGUUAAUAUCUCUAUGUAAUCCCGACGUGUGGGCCUUUCUUCCGUAUUUCCUGAUAACCCCCUACAGAAAUAGACAAACACCAAAACUCGUGGAAUUCUGUCAGAUAAAACCCUAAGUCUAGAUCUUGAUUUCAUUUGGAUCCUUUUCUUUAUUUAUUUGAUAAUUAAAUUUGAUACUUAAGGACCAUCAACAAGGAUCUCAACCUGAUCAGUACUCAACUCAAUGUAGUCAAGGUCAAAGUCAGUGAUGAUAACACUGCUGAAGUUACAAUCCUGGAGUGGGAGAAGCAAAGGAGGCACACUGUGGACCUAGGAAACCACAAUUGUUCCUGCAGGCAGUGGCAAGUGACUGGAAAGCCAUGUAAGCAUGCUUUGGCUUGGAUACUGUCAAUCCCAGGGAUGAGAAUUGAGGAUUAUGUACAUGAGUACUAUUCAGUUGCUAGAUUUAAGGCAGCUUAUGCUGAUAGGAUUGAGCCUAUCCCAGACAAGGAUGAAUGGCCUGUUGUCAACCUUGGUUUUAAAGUGUAUCCUUCAUUGCUAGGCAGAGGUCCAGGAAGGCCAAGGGUUGUAAGAAUUAGAGGGACUUUUGAGCAGAGGGCCACGAAGAAGAAAGUUAGGUGCAAGAGAUGUGGUGACUUUGGACAUUUUUCCAAGACCUGCAAGUUGCCAGAACUAGGUGAAGAUGGAGAAAGAGGACAAGGGUCUUCAAAAAGGUAUUAAAACUAUUGUCUAACCAUUUUAUUAUUUUUUCCUAUGUACUAAGAUCUAACCGGCUAUUGUCAUCUCAACGCAGAAAGAGGCCGACUCAGCAAGUGUCAUCACAGGAAGCUCCAACGCAGGAAGUACCAACACAGGAUGAUGCUGGACCUUCCCAGGUGAAGAAGACCAAGCCUCUGAAGAAGGUUACAACUAAGAAGAAGAAGAAGACACCAAAGAAAACAAAGCUGCAGAGGGAAGCAGCUGCACCUGGGAAGGCUGUUAUCAGCAGCAUCAGGCACCUGAUCUAUGAUGCUCCACAGGAUGCUGAUCUAUGAUUCUCCACAGGAUGCUGAUCUAUGAUGCUCCACUUAUAUGGCUUUGUUCUGAACCUUACUAUGUAAUGAGGCAUUAGAAUGCCAACUUGGAACUUGUAUGGCUGAUGCUGCUACUAUGUAAUGAGGCAUUAGAACUUGCCAACUAUUUUCAGUCAUGUGAACUCUACUUAUGUUAGUUUGUACUCUCCUGUAUUGUGUCAAUUAUCAUGUGAACUCUACUUAAAAUGUUAAGAAAACAAGACAAAGUGCUGCAGAAAUUCUAAUAUAUUUUGAAGCUGAAAUUCUAAUCUAUUUUCAGUGACAAAAGGCAUAGGACAAUGCUGAUCAUACUCAUCGAAGAAACUCAGUGACAAAAUGCUUGUUCUUUCAUUGCAAAUACACAUAAUUACAGUCACUUCAUCAUCUGAGAAAAACCUACACCUAGCAGUACACCCACAAGGACACCUACAACAACAGAUACAUCCAACACAAUUUGCAUUUUCCCCUUCCUGCCCAAGUCCAGUGCUGGACUCUGAUUACUAACUUGACUAGGAACAGCAACAACAUCUCUGUCUCCAAGUUGCACCUUCAUUUUCUCAAGUUCAGUGACAACUCUAUCUAGAGUUUGCUUCAUCUCCUUGUCCCGUUGAUUCAAAUCAUCAUUAGGAUCCCCAACUGCUGAAUGAAGGGGCAACUGCAGCUGAAUCUCUUUCUCCUUUUGCUUCAUAAACCAUGCCUCGUACUGCUCCUCCGAACGAAUCCAGCCACAAGUUGUUGGAUCACCCUGUGCAAGCAACACCAGUCAAAUUGAAAACAAAGGAAGCACAUUCAAGGGCAUAAACAAUGCAAAUAGUUACCUUUACGUUGUUUGGGCACUUGAUGAAUGCGACAUCCUUUGAGUGCUCUUGCUUGCUCACGAUUCGGAUCAAAGGAACAUUGCACACUGGGCAGUUCAGUAGGGGGCACUGCACCCUUCUACUGCCAGCAGCGGAAGAGCUCGAGGCCAUCUUCAUCUGCAGCGCCGCCGUCGGGAUCGUGGCACCGGAAUCGCCGCCGCCGCGCCUAGGGUUACGCUCGAGAGAGACAGAGAGGUGGAGAGCGAGAAUGAGUCAGGGGCGGGGUGGAGACGGCGUUUUUUGCCGCGCCGUUUAGAUGGCUCACGGCGACGGGCGCAUACGGUCGACCGUAUGCCACGUCGGCUUGCAAGCAGGCCCAAGCGUCCUUCUACCGUAUCCAAUGGCAUAUUUCAAAUUUUGCAAGAAUUGUAAUGGUCCGCUUCAGGAUACCUGAAUUAUAAUGGCAUAUUUCAAAUACUUUGAAAUUGUAAUGGCACCGUUCAAAAAAACCCAUUCCAAAAUAGAAAGUCCUUUUCCUUCCCAAACAGAAAACCAUGUUUAUCUGCCAACAGUUUCUAACCCAUGGGUCCCACGGGUGCCAACGGUUUCCCUCUUGAUCCUCCCCAAUCGCCCGCUCACACCACCACGCCGCCACGCCGCUCAUCGUUAACUUCCUGCCCUCCACGGACUUAUCCGCUCGUCGCGCCCGCCUCAAGCUAAUGACGAAUCUAAUGAGUAGAAGAGUGAGGGCAUGUGUCCUUAAGGAAAAAAAACGUCUUCGACCAGAAAUCUCCACCUGCCGCGCUGUGGAGUUCUCGUGCUGGGGCUCCUCCCCGUGCGUCGCCACGGUGCCGUGGCUGACCACACGAGCGCGGCUUGGCAUGCGUCUAAAGAUACAGUGGCCGUUGUUGGAGAUGACCUUGAAGCUGUGCAUCUGCCAUUCUGCCUUCCAUUGGUGCCUAUGGGGUACACUGUCAAACAGCGCUGGUGCCCCCUCCAUCGGCGCGGGAGGAAGAAGAUGACCAGGUUGAGCGGUGUGGAACCGUCGUAAACGAAUCUGCGCGGUUUCUCCCAACACGGUUGACUGUGGGCUGAUUUACGGGUACACGGUUAGUAUACAGCAUCGUACAUACCACUCAUAUAUAUAGUCAUAUAUAACAUCUCAAGUCCAUACACGGCACACUGCUUAGAGAACCUUUAUUUAUUUUGUAUGAAAAAGGGACAUGAAAGAAAACCAUUCUCCGAAUAUAUCAAAACAUGUAUAAGGCUGCCCGUGAAGUAGAAUCGCAUCCCCAUCCACAGAUUUAGUUGUAGGCGUCGGGGUUGGCGACGAGGUAGGCCUCGGCACCCUUGAAAAUGGCGGUGAGUGCCUCCUUGGCCUUGGCUUCCUCGUCCUUCUCGUCCAUGCCCGGCAGCAACUUGUAGGUCGACUCCACCUUCACCACGCUGCCGCCGUCGGCCGUGGGCUCCACCUUGAUGUGUGACGCCGCGGUCUCGAUGGCAACACCGAUGCCGCCGCCCUCGACGAGCGUGUUCUUGCACUCGCACUUGUCCACGUCCAGGAAAUCGAGCCUCUCCUUCAUGAAGCUGAACGGCAUGACUGCAAGAACGAUCGCGCACGUCAUUCGCUAGCUAUUUGAUCGAUCGAUCGGGCGACAACAUGUUGGUCUGGGCGACUGGGCAUGCUGCGGACACUUACAUGAGGUGAAGUUGAACUGCCUGACGCUGCCAACGCCGCCGUCGCCCUCCACGGGGUGGGCGCUGGCGACGACGUGGGAGGCGACCUUGGGCGCCAGGGUGUGCCAGUCCAUCACGGCGGCGCGGAACAGGCGCGGCGCGGCCACCGGCGACGGAAUCUCCAGGGUCCAGCUGCUGGCGGAGGCCAUUACUUCAGUGAUCGGCCGAGAUAAACUAAACUAGGUGCGAGCCGAAGCUGCUUAGGUGCUUGUGCUGCUGCAGGUGGUUUUAGGAUUGCGCUUUUGCUUGCGUUGCCAUUAGAGUGGCGGACGGAGGACUUUAAAUAGGCGGUUAUGGCGGGGUUGGUGGCGUCCCGUGAGGAUGAGACGCUCGGGAGUCGUCGUCGGCGGCUCUUCCCACUUUGGCUUGGCACGGCACCGUCGCUCGUCGGUCCAUGUAGUUCAUUAUAAUAUACUACAUGUUGCCGGGGUUGCGGACAAACGUCUGGAAACGUGCUGCCAUUCCGUCAGCGUUCAACCCCUGAAGGUGUAGAAUAUAUAUCGUCGAAUUGGCGAGCCAAAUCAGCUUCCAGAUCAAAAAGCAUGUACUGUAAGCGUGGGUUGGUGUCAUUAGAAACGAGAAUUAUACCGUACGUGAGCGUCCUGACUACUUGCAUCACUCUUUUGGUGUCGCACUGUCGCUAUUAACUACUAAUAAUAAACAUAAUCCUGUAAAUCCACCUCUUUUUAAUCAUCCUAUAAAUACCUCUACUGGCGACAGCAUGGACAAAGCUCAUACGGAAAAUAACAUAGUGGUGGCCAAAGCUGUAUGGGAAAAUAUUGAUUGCAGACUAUCAAUUGGGUGCAAAAGUACUCAGUGUAAACUAUUAAUUAAGUGCAAAUAUAAAGACAAUUGCUAUGUCACAGUUGAUUGUUUUAGCCUCCGUGAAUAACUGAUUUCCUGGCCGUUUGAUUCUUAUCACGUGGGAUGAAAGAAAGACCAACAACGCUGCGGAAGCAGAGCGUGAGGAAGGACCGAAGGAGCCACCAGGGGUCCACUGAUGUCGCCAUUAGCACCAAGGAGAGGCCGUCGUCAGAGUCAGAGUCAGGGUUGUAGAGGGCUAUCACGUCCGUUGUCGAGGUCGGGGUGGGGUAAAGAUGGCAAUGGAUAAUUACCCGCUGGGUAUAUGCUACCCAUACCUUUACCGAUGAGAAAAUAUUUUACCCGUUAAUUUACAUAUCCAUGUAUGGGUAAGAGUUUUUUCCCAUACCCUUACCCACGUGGGUAACGGGUAAUCCAUGAGUUUUCUUACCCAUGAUUCUAAGAAUACUUGUAAAAAAUAAAUACAUAUUUAAAUAUUCUAGACUCCCAAUUUCAGCCAAAGUAUCAUAAGUCAUUAAUAAAAUCAUCAAAUAUACAAGCUCCAUGAAUACCUAAUCAAGUAAUCUAAUAGAUAAAUCCAUCAUUACUAGACAACAAGUGACAAAAUUUACAAGUUUCCGUGUUGUGCGGCCGCCGCAAGGAGAUAGGGGAAAGGUGAGAGAGCGGAUGUGUGAGGUACUAAGGUGAGGGCCUAGAGUUUGACAGCAUUAUAUAUGAUUUUUAUUGGACUUGGCCUGUGUAUGGUGAUUUUGGUCCAUAAUUCUAACUUAUUGAAUCGGGUCCAAUCCCAUACCCUUACUCGCUUUACCCGCUGGCUAAAGCUUUUUCCCAUUAUCUUACCUAUGGAUAAAAAAAAUAGUCAUACCUUUACCCUAAUGAAGUAAUUAACCAUCGGAUUUCGAGUAAAAAUUGACAUCUUUAAGGUGGGGAAUGGCCGCCGCAUCUACCAUAGCCACCUGCUUCCUGAGAUCCAUGGGGAAAGAGCCCGCCGCUAGCCGAGGGUGAGGAGCCGCCGCCUCUGUGUGGCCAACUUCAUGUCGGGCCUCUACCGUGGCGGGGGUAGCUCACAGAAGGGAAGGGAUAAAGUUGGUGAGGGUGGGUCCCACCAUAAUUGGUGAAUAAUUUGCCAUGUAUUUCUCUAAUAUCUACUAUCUAAAGAAAUAUUUUGUAUUUUUUUCUGAAAAGUUUGGCAUAUUUGUCUUUGAGAUAUGUAAUCUAUAAAAAUACCUAAGAUAUAUCACUAUAUCCAAUAAAUGACACUAUGUGUUAGCAUUUUCUCACUACAUUUUCAAAGGUGUUAACACACUAGAUUCUAAUGCAUAUGCAUUAUCAACAACAGCUAGUGACACUUGAUAAACCGCUUUUAACCAUAAUUUUCCUCUCUUUAUAGUACAGCUAUCUAGUCGACUAGUCCAAACCCAAUUAUAUCCUCUAUGGUAUCUUGAUUGGCGAAACAAGAAUGGCCCUAUCACAUACCUUUGCCUUAAGCUCAUUUUUAUUUUUCUCUUUCUUUUUUUCCAAGUUGGAGCACUUGAUCUUCACACUUGACCACCUCCAUCAUCUAUAGAUGCCAUAAUCUAGCUGGUGUGUACCAAUCCUAUUUCCUAUCUUAUAUACACCUAAAGCAAUGGUUAGUAGACUUAGAUCUCAUCAAUUAUCCGAAACUAAACUAGAACUUUCAUGUAGUGACACAACAUCUACUUUCUCUCACCCUUCCUCUUUCAUGGAAUGCAAGCAUUCAUACAUCAUUAGUAUGUUGUAUGUAAUGAGUCUCUCUAGCACAAACACCGACUGUUCUUCCGAAAUCACCUUUGGGAAAAAAUAAUCCACAGUCUGUUUGCCACCGUCUUAGAAGCAAUCUUAUAUAUCAUGUUACAUAGACUGAUGAUAGGCCAAAACAGCCCGCUCGACCAACUUCUCCACUUUUGUGAUCAAUACUAUUCAUGUGCUAUUUAUCACAGAAGGAUCAUCCUCGCCACAUAAGUCCUAGUGCCGCUAAAAAAAAUGAGCAGGAAAACCAUCUGGCCCCGGCGUUUUUGUCUUAAACAUGUGAGAAAGCUUAGUCCUGAUCUCCUCCUUUCGUAUACAAGGCGAGUGUCCUGACAACUACUUGCAUCACUCUUUUGAUGUUGCACUAUCGUUGUUAGCCUUAUCAUUAACUCCUUUCCUCUCUAAUCUCUAGAAUUAAGCAAAGAUUUGAAUGCUUUCUCAAUUUACCAUCAUAUAAUUAUUAUAUUAUAAUAUAAUCAAAUAAAUACACCUCUUUUUAUUCAUCCCGCAAAUAUAUCUAGUGGCAAUGAGUAUGGAAAGAGCUAAUACGAAAACUAUCAUAGUGGUGGCCAAAUACAUGAGAAAAUAUUCAGUGCAAACUAUAGAUUGGGUGCAAACAUAAACCCUUUAUAACAUAAUUAGAUGUUUUCUUAAAAAAAUGCCCACUUCGCCACUAAAGUUAAGAUACAAAGAAAUGGGGUGGGGGUGUGAUGCAAAGAUAUUGGAGAGUGAAUCUCUUCUUUCAAACCUCCCAAGAAACUAGUCACAAAGUAAACAUAAUCGUAGGAGCUAUUGUACAAUAGAAUUUGAUGCGCAGGCUGUUCAAGCUACUCAAAUUACUGUGACCGAACUAGUCUACUGAAGAUGAUUGUUUCAUACAUAACUCAUAUUGGUCACGAUUAAAAUAAUUACAAACCGCAUCACAAGAGCAGGCCAAGAUGUGAAACAACCACACAACUCUUUAAAUUGUAACCAAGUGGCAGCGGUCCUCCAGAACUCAAUGCAACAGAGCUAGGCUUCAAUGUCUCGCUGAUAGAGUACAUCUCAAAAUAGAUCUUACAGUGAUCCUUCCACAACCAUAAAUUGUCACCAUCAAAUUUGGGGAAAUAUGAUUUGGGCAUCGGACCAACUGGAGAUGUAUAAGAAUAUGAAUGUUCCAUCGGUCCACCUAUCAUUCCCUUGUACUUGCGUGCCCGUUAGUUAGCUAUUAUGUUCCUCUUUUUUAUUGGAUCCCAAACACCUCUGCUUCUAGACCAACUUCCAUCGUCGUCUACACAUAUCCCAUGGAGUUAGAGCAAGUUUAAUUAAUACAGUCCACUUGCUGACUGUAAGGUUCCUUACAGCCUUCUUUCAGCCCCACCCAUACAAUAGUUAGUUAUUCAUUAUUAAUACAUGACUCACUUAUCUCUCUUACAAAGUUUUCAGCUUACAACAUGCUUCUCUUCUCUCUCCUCCACCUCAGUAUUUAGCCAGCUUACAGCCCACUAUAAUACUUGCUCUUAUGACAAAUGCCUACUUCUCUCGCCUUUUUAGUGAACACUAUAACUCCUGGAGUCUUCAUAUUAUUCGAAAAAUAAAUUCAAAUUUCAACAAUGACACAUUCAGCAGAAUAAAAAGUCUCCAAAUUUCUAUUAAAAAAGAGCAAACAUUCCUUAUUCAGUCAAACUUGCAAAGGAUUUCAAAACAGAAGACCUCGUAUAACCAUGAGGGUGUAAGUAAUCUCACAAACAAAGCAUCACAAACCACUUAUAAUCUCAAGUCCAUACACGGUACACCACACACUGCAUAGAGCAACUUUAUUUUGUUUUGUAUGAAAAAAGAGGAAAACUCCAGGAAAGAAAAAAGAAAAUUAAACCCAAACUUCAGGAAGGGGAAUCGCAUCCCAAUCGACUGAUUUAGUUGUAGGCGUCGGGGUUGGCGACGAGGUAGGCCUCGGCACCCUUGAAAAUGGCGGUGACUGCCUCCUUGGCCUUGACUUCCUCGUCCUUCUCGUCUACGCCAGGCAGCAGCUUGUAGGUCGACUCCACCUUCACCACGCUGCCGCCGCCGGCCGCGGGCUCCACCUUGAUGUGCGACGCCGCGGUCUCGAUGGCAACACCGAUGCCGCCGCCCUCGACGAGCGUGUUCUUGCACUCGCACUUGUCCACGUCCAGGAAAUCGAGCCUCUCCUUCAUGAAGCUGAACGGCAUGACUGCAAGAACGAUCGCGCACGUCAUUCGCUAGCUAUUUGAUCGAUCGAUCGGGCGACAACAUGUUGGUCUGGGCGACUGGGCAUGCUGCGGACACUUACAUGAGGUGAAGUUGAACUGCCUGACGCUGCCAACGCCGCCGUCGCCCUCCACGGGGUGGGCGCUGGCGACGACGUGGGAGGCGACCUUGGGCGCCAGGGUGUGCCAGUCCAUCACGGCGGCGCGGAACAGGCGCGGCGCGGCCACCGGCGAUGGAAUCUCCAGGGUCCAGCUGCUGGCGGAG